GAGUGUUAGAUAUUAAGUUGUGUGUUUAUGUUAAUUAGGCUUAGCCCAACUUUUAUUUAGGGUUUUAGCCCAUAUCUUACAUUAUAAAUAAACUACCCUAUGUGUAUGCAAAGAUACACAAGGGAGAUUUCUCCUAAUCUUUUCCACUCUUUCUCCUGCAUACACAAGAAAUAAAAACCCUAAAAAACACUUUUUAUAAAAAUAUAAAAUAAAAACAAAAAAAUAAAUAAAAAUCAAGUCAAAUUUAAUCAAAUUCACACUACUAGAAAAGUUAAACCAAUCAGUCCCCGACAUCGGCACCAAAAACUUGUUA
RNAcentral lists this long non-coding RNA (313 nucleotides) under Vigna radiata. RNAcentral describes it as "long non-coding RNA (VRAD_LNC013947)". Lineage: Eukaryota; Viridiplantae; Streptophyta; Magnoliopsida; Fabales; Fabaceae. The record is from RNAcentral.